UCAACAGUCUCAGGACCCUCCCGCGAUGCUAAUGCGGCGCCCCUGCCCCGCGCUCGAGUCCAGGCCAGGGCCGCCGAGGAGCGCCCCCCACCAGGGGGCCGCCACAAGAUGGAAAAAGAAAGAAUCAGAGGUCGGAAUGGGCAGGCUCUGAAGGGAAGAGGCAGAGGGACAGAAUCAUUCCAAGCACAUUCUGGAAGGGACUGGCAUCCGCAGCUGACGAGAACACGGCGCUCCCGUAGCCAAGCAAACUCAGAAUGGAUCCGCUCCAGACGGCUUGUCCGGACCGGGACCGCACGCCCGAGGGGAGUUGAGCCGGGUGCCUGGCUGACAGGCUCUCCCUCCGUGAGACGGGAAGACAGAAUGGCUGCUCUCACGGAAAACAGCACCUUUCUCGGUGGCUCUCCUGCCCGGGCCCCGCGCCCCUCUCCCUCGGUGUGUGCGCCCGCACUCACUCCUCAGUUCCUGGCCUCCCAAUUAUUCUGGGGCUGAUUAAAUUAGCAAAUGCAAUCACAAUCUGAAGUAAGUUAAUUGGGAGAAUUUAUUGGACCUGCCAGUUUUAUGCAUGUUUGAUUAAGUAUUAUAAGGUUUGGUUUUGAUCUUGCAUAAUUUAACUUUAAAUCCUGCACUGGGGGGCCCAUCAACCAUUAACGACCAAAAUAACCUCUUUUAAAAUGCAUCUAUUUAUGAUUUAUUUCUGAAUGCAAUAUCUUCCAGAUUUUUUUUUUUUGGUGCCGUUGCCCAAGUGACAAAUACCUUAAAAGUAACGUUUUGAGCCAUCCUUCUCACCCUAUAAAUCUCUCUGAACGUGUACAAUUCAUUAAAAGUUUUGGAAGGAA
Molecule: long non-coding RNA, 836 nt
Organism: Hyaena hyaena (striped hyena)
Lineage: Eukaryota; Metazoa; Chordata; Mammalia; Carnivora; Hyaenidae
Exons: 2
Source: RefSeq, a predicted model, not a curated record